UUACCGAAACUGCGGGUGCCACGUAAGUGGCGCGAUAGGAGAGCGUUCUAAGGGCAAUGAAGCUAGACCGUGAGGACUGGUGGAGCGCUUAGAAGUGAGAAUGCCGGUAUGAGUAGCGAAAGACAGGUGAGAAUCCUGUCCACCGUAUGACUAAGGUUUCCUGGGGAAGGCUCGUCCUCCCAGGGUUAGUCGGGACCUAAGGCGAGGCCGAGAGGCGUAGUCGAUGGAUAACAGGUUGAUAUUCCUGUACCAGGUGUAUUUGUUUGAACAAUGGAGGGACGCAGAAGGAUAAUGAAUGCGCACUGCUGGAUAUGUGCGUUUAAAUCGUAAGUCUUGAUAAGAGUCAAAUGCUUUUAUCUUUAAGGACAAGCGAUGAUGAGGACCGAAAUUUAAGUAGGGAAGUUCAUGAUUUCACGCUGCCGAGAAAAGCUUCUAGUUAGAAUACAUUUGCCCGUACCGCAAACCGACACAGGUAGUCGAGGAGAGAAUCCUAAGGUGUGCGAGAGAACUCUCGUUAAGGAACUCGGCAAAAUGACCCCGUAACUUCGGGAGAAGGGGUGCUGACCGCAAGGUCAGCCGCAGUGAAUAGGCCCAGGCGACUGUUUAUCAAAAACACAGGUUUCUGCAAAAUCGUAAGAUGACGUAUAGGGGCUGACGCCUGCCCGGUGCUGGAAGGUUAAAAGGAUGGCUUAGCUUCGGCGAAGGUCAGAAUUGAAGCCCCAGUAAACGGCGGCCGUAACUAUAACGGUCCUAAGGUAGCGAAAUUCCUUGUCGGGUAAGUUCCGACCCGCACGAAAGGCGUAACGAUCUGGGCACUGUCUCAACGAGAGACUCGGUGAAAUUUAAAUACCCGUGAAGAUGCGGGUUACCCGCGACAGGACGGAAAGACCCCAUGGAGCUUUACUGUAGCUUGAUAUUGAGUGUUUGUGCAGCUUGUACAGGAUAGGUAGGAGACGUAGAAAUCGGGACGCUAGUUUCGAUUGAGGCGUUGGUGGGAUACUACCCUCGCUGUAUGACCACUCUAACUCGCAUCACUAAUCGUGAUGGAAGACAGUGUCUGGCAGGCAGUUUGACUGGGGCGGUCGCCUCCUAAAAGGUAACGGAGGCGCCCAAAGGUUCCCUCAGAAUGGUUGGAAAUCAUUCGCAGAGUGUAAAGGCACAAGGGAGCUUGACUGUGAGACUUACCAGUCGAGCANNNNNNNNNNNNNNNNNNNNCACGAAAUUAGCAUCGAUGUCCCAUAUGGAUUUGUGAAGGUGGUUACUGCGUCAGCGAAACCUGGCUGUACAAACAUUUUACGACAGACAUUCAGCCUGGAAGGCGAAUCUAAUCGGGUUUUGAUUAGAUUCAGUUGUUUGUUGGGAACUAAGCGCCGCGCCCGUAGUAAGUGCGGCGUUGCAACCAUGACGUGCUUGUACAUAAUAGGUGAAAAACUUACGAUGAAAAAAUAAAUAAAUUCAUCGGAGAAAUAUUAUGACAACAGUUCAAAUUAGCAUCUACUGCAUCGCUGGGUUAUUAUUUUUAGCGACAAUUGGCUAUGAAACCUGGUUGAUGUAUCAAUUGAGAACGCGUGCUAAUGCGGCGGCGACGGUACGACGACAAGAUCGUUUGAAAUUCAUCG
This 1619-nucleotide ribosomal RNA is filed under the name Sesamum indicum (sesame). RNAcentral's name for it is "bacterial LSU rRNA". It matches the Rfam family "Bacterial large subunit ribosomal RNA", at positions 1191 to 2440 of the family's 2925-position model. The record is from RNAcentral. Lineage: Eukaryota; Viridiplantae; Streptophyta; Magnoliopsida; Lamiales; Pedaliaceae.